This 2678-nucleotide long non-coding RNA is filed under the name Equus caballus (horse). RNAcentral describes it as "lncRNA (ENSECAG00000060203.1)". Lineage: Eukaryota; Metazoa; Chordata; Mammalia; Perissodactyla; Equidae. The record is from RNAcentral.
GCUUUCAGCUGUUCCUCCAAAACACAUCCUGUCUGUAGCCAACUCCCCACCUCCACUCCUGCCUCCACGGCCCACUCACCCCUCCUCUUACCUGAAAGACUGCAAUAGCCUUGUAGUGGGUGUUCCUGCUUUGUUCUCCCCUCACCACAUCCACUCUCCUCAACGCAACCGGAGGAGCUUUAAAAAUGUUAAUCAGAUCAAGUUUCUCCAUAGCUUAAAACCCCAUCCACCACCUGCAAGGCUGUCUGUGAUCCAGUCCCUCCCUACUUCUCCACCCUGACCUCCUCUCUGUUCCCGGAACAGCACCAAAUUCACUUCUGGCUCAGGGCCUUUGCACAUGCUGUUCCCUGCCCUCCUUCUCUCAACAGGCUUCUUGUAUCAUUCAAAUCUCAAGUCAAAUGUAACCCUUUCAGAGAAGGCUUUCUUCACUCCCACUCCUAGCCACUCUGUCAUAUCACCCUUGCACUCACCACAGUAAUUGCCUUGUUCUUUAUCGAUUUCCUGCCUCUCUACACUUGAUUGAAAACUCCUUGAGAGGGGGCCACGUUUCCCUCAUUUACUGCUGACUCCCCAGCACCUAAAGUAAUGCUUGGCCCACAGGGUGUAUUACAUGCCUGAUGGUGCGGUUUCCUAUGAAUAUUGUGGAAAGAGAAAAUGAAGGAGUGAGUGAAUUAUUCUUUAUCAAAAACAAAGCACCAAAAUUUUCUCUCAAAGCAGAAACUGGACAGUUAAAACACAGAAACAGAAUUUAAUGAGUUUGUAAUGAGACAGUGAGCUCCGUGAGAGUAGCUCCCACCUCUCCUGUUAAUGAUAUAUACCAGGGCCCAGAGCAAAACUUGGUACAGAACUGACACCAUGUAGGGAACAAACCAGACCACGGACCAGGCCACGUUAGGGGUUGGUGUGUUUCUGGGUGGAAGAGCCUGCUCAGCCAGGGCCGGCAGGGCAAGCUGUCCUCUCUGAGCCGACAGGGAAGCCUGGCGACGCUGGGGAAUUUGAGAGUCCCCGCCUGGCAUGCACUCCCCUUGAAAGGAUUGUCAGGAAACUGGAGGCCUCUCUGAAUUUGGAGAGGAUGAUUUAGUUCCUACUUGAUUGCUCUCCUCCUAACUCCCUCUCUCCAUGAAGCUCCUUGAAUAUAAAUUCAGGAAUUUAUCAUCGUAGCAUUAUUGUCUGCUUCUAACCAGUAACUCCUCCUUUAUAAAAAUGGGGGCUCUGGACUAGAUCUCUCAAUUCCCUUCAGAGCCAACAUUUGAUGGUUUUAAGUGAAAAUGUGUUCCACCUGGAACCAAGGGGCGUUCAGCUCAAGCCUCUAAAAAACACAGUUCAAGCUUAACUGGAAGGACCUGGAGAGCUAGUCACAGCCGCUGCCUCACAGCAGGUCCCAGGUAACGAGGCCCCUCUCACCUGACCUGAGCGUGGUAGGAGACAGCACGUGAUGAUUCUGAAGCCCAUAUCCUGUCCCCUCCAGGGCUUGGCAUUCUGUUUCCUGGAACUUCUCCGCUCUAAGCGGAGAUACUAUUAAAGAAUGUUUUAAACUGAGGAAUGAGAAAUAUUCUCCACGUGAGUUUUUAAAGUCCACGUGUGAGACUGGUGGUUCUUAAGCUCAAAGUCACCUGCAGUGCUUGUUAAAAUUGCAGUCUGCGGCUCAAUUCCAGCGCUCUGACUCAGUGGAUUUGCAUUUCCAGAGCUUCUAGGUGAUUCUGGAGCAAAUUUGUGGUGGAAAACUACCUGGUGCUACCUGGUAUGUAGGAGGCUGCGCUCCGCAGGGACCUGGCCUUAAACAGGCUCGGAGCCCCGCCCUCGCUGGCUUCCUGUGGCCUGUGAGGCCCGGGGAUCCGAGCAGCCUCUUCACUGACCGGCUUCAGGCCACUGGGUUCCACAAUUGCAUCAGUGAUCCGAACAGCCUGUCUCCUCAGUGCCAAACAGCUGGACACUUAGAGAGGGGAGGCCAUUCAUGUCCAGACAUACAGGCUGCUUAGAAUGCAGAUGUUGAUGACAAAAGUUGGAGCCACGAUCUUGGACCACAGUAUGGAGACUGUAUAUUGAAGAUGGCAGAGGAGUGGUAUAGAGGGAGUCUAGUCAGUGAUAAUUACAGAGCCGCAAUAACAAUCCUGGUCUGCCUCCCUAGCAUUUAAUGCACGGGACAAAUAAAUCUUAACGUUGCUUAAACCACUGUCAAUUUUGAGUUUCCCGACACUCAGCUGGAUAGAAUCCUAUCUAUUGCACAGGGAUACCUCCAUUCUUUGUCCCCGUCUCUCCCUACAUAAAGUCAUUGCCCUUUUCUGCAUUCUCUUCUUUUACUUCUACAUAUUUCAUCCAAAUGGAUUCAAAUUACACGUAUGUCUCAUUAAUGGCAGAUCACCAAAGGGGUGGAAAGCCAGCCUGGGACCUCUGGAGAGGGCAAUUAUGAGUUGGAGCCAAGGACCAGGCUCUGAGAGGCAACGUUCUUGGUCCUGGCCAGCAGAGAGGGAGUGGUUUAAACCCAGUUCUUCCUGCUCAGUUAGCCUCCCUGCCCAUUUAUGAGGCAAAGCGUGAGUCUUGCCAACAAAAUCUUCUUUCCAAGAAAAUAAGUUCAAGUCAUCCUACUUCUCUGGUUUCUCGCCUGCCAUCAUUCCCAGAAAGAUGUACAUGAUGUGGCUGUCAUGAAACAUCUGUCUCUAGUCCCACCAAAAGGACCA